CAUUUCCAAUCCGUUUAGUCGGUCUCGUACCCAAGUGUAUAUCCCUUAUUUGUUUGCGUAACACUCUUGAUAUUGAAACCAGAGAAUAAGCUUACCGCUCUAAGUCGAUCUAUUAUUCUCUUUACCUCCAAACCUUCCUAGUCGAGCUUCCACCGCCCCCUAAAGAAAGAGAUGGGAGCACAUCCGUAACUCAACGUUACGACUUACGGGCACUCAUCUCAUGGAUACCCCUUCUUUUCUUGAGCCAGAGUUGGGGCUUUUGCGGCAUCUAGUUCAGUAUCAGAUAGAGCAGAUAGUUUAGUCCCUUGGCAAAGAAGGUUGACUUCUCUGUCACUUCCGUACUUCUGUAACUUCUCUUUAGCUUUUUAAUUGAAUUGGUUAGAAAUUCCCUGGUAUUGGCUAGAAGAGAGGGAUUAGUCCCCCUCCAACACUGACUUCUUAGUCGAGUAGUUAUCUUUCUCCUUAGCUUCGGUUUUCUCGAAACUGGCUACUCCUUAUGAUAUGCCACCUCAACCCCCGAUCUAAGAGCAUCUGAGAACAUCUCCGGCAUUGUCGAGGGAAAGUCAGAUAACCGGAAUGAUUGGCCUUCAUGCCUAUCCCCAUCGAUCAGAACAGGCAACAGAUCUUUCAGCGGAUGUAGCAGCGGAUCAAUAUCCGCUGUGUUCAACUCCUGCUACUGGGUCAACUCCAAACCAACAUUCGGGAAGGGAAGCCAAACUACUUCUUGAACUAAACAACUUCUUCCUUUUCAUUGAUUGACUAAUGCCCCUCGGUUGAAAGAUAAUCUUUUACCGCUCCGCUGGAUCAGCUGCAGAAGAAUUCUUCCUAUUAUAGAUCACUGCCAUCUCACGAAUUGGAUUUGAACCAAUAUCUCCGGGCGACUUUCCUUGCGCGGUAAAGUAAAAAAAAAAAAGCGAUAAGUAGGCUCGCUAUUGCGAGCUAUACAAGCUGUUUGCCUUUAUACGGCUUCGCUAGCGCUCCUAUGAAGUGGUGGGCCUUCUAGAAGCUUCGCCAGAAGCAAGAUGAGGUCGCUCUCCUUCGCUCGUUCCGUACUUGACUUACGAGCUCGUGUAGUACUCGCCCCUAUCUCUAAAGGGGCU
RNAcentral lists this long non-coding RNA (1100 nucleotides) under Trifolium pratense (red clover). RNAcentral's name for it is "long non-coding RNA (TPRA_LNC007357)". The record is from RNAcentral. Lineage: Eukaryota; Viridiplantae; Streptophyta; Magnoliopsida; Fabales; Fabaceae.